Molecule: long non-coding RNA, 17111 nt
Organism: Triticum aestivum (bread wheat)
Lineage: Eukaryota; Viridiplantae; Streptophyta; Magnoliopsida; Poales; Poaceae
Exons: 8
Source: RefSeq, a predicted model, not a curated record
AAAUGUGUGCCGACCGGUUGCUACUCACGCGGCCCCUCUAGAAAUGUGCCCCCUUCUCUUUCCCCACGACCCUGAUCUCCACUGCCGUUCCUCCUUACCCAUCCUGAUUUACUGUCGUUCUCAACGCCGGCCGCUUUGCCUGCUUCCGGAGCCUACCAUCGAGAUGGUGUGGACCGCACCGGAGAGCGCUGCCGCCCGGAACUCCUCGGUCAUCGCUAAUCUAGGCGGCUUCGUCAGCUGAGGAGCGACGACUUGGCCUCUGCCGCUGCACGCCGCCGGCCGGGGCCGCGUUGGCAGCAUGGAGGACGAGGUUGGGCCGACUCUAAGGUUGGCGGGGAAGGAGAGGCAGCAACGCUAGCUGCAGAACUCGGGGCCCGGCCGAACCGAGGGUGUCGUCGAGAUUCUCGAUGGUAAUCUCUGACGGAGGAUCCAGUGAUGGUGAAAUCCUACAGAGAUGGUCUUACGACAAGCUCCAUCCACCAGCGGCUAGACGGCGAGACCAGACUGCGACGGCGUGUCCACCCCGGUGCUAGGCGGAGCAAGGUGGACGCCCUCCUCCCCCCCUCCCCAGGUUCCCCUUCCCUGUUUCAUCUGCCGCCUCCCCGUCUCUACUCUCCUUGCACCCCCUCGACGCCUUCUCCUUCUUCUUUUUUCAGCUCUUGAAUUGGCGACCAUGGGGAAGGAAGGACGGACAACCGCAGCAGGGUGUGGUAGGAUUGCAUCCUCAAUCUCCCCCCUCUCCCUGCGCGCUGCGCCGGUCGCUCUCAGUGGAGGAAGCAUCCAAUUAGGUGGUGGUGGCUCCGACGGUUUGGGUACAACACGUCUGGUUGCAGAGAGGCAGGUGAUUAGAGUAGAAGCCGGCAAGCGGCGUCCGGAGAUUGCGCAAUGACCAACAAGUGGCUGAUGCUUGCACAUGGAAUGCUCUCUCUGAAGUUGUUCAAGACAAAGGUAUGACGAUUGCUUCAGAGAGGAAUGUUGAGUCGUAUGAUUUCUCUAAGCUGCCAAUUGUUCUCUUUUACACUUCUGUUGGGUCACACCUUUUAAGAAUCAAUUAGCAUAACUUCUUUCCUGGUAUGUGGAUCGGACUACUUAGUCUUCAGGCUAGAAAAAUACUUUUUUUAUCACCCGACAUGAUCUCCUGGUAUGUCUAGUGGCUUAUCACCGGUUAGCAAGUUCAUAACCGUCUCUACGAGAUCAGAUAUUGCUUCCUGUUAAGUAGAAUACAAUUUUGUUGACCACACACUGUUACGUGUCAUAGCCAUAUGCGACAAUUAUGUCACACUGUUGACCACACACAAUGAGCCUACACUUUUAUGUGCUAGCAUUGGUGCCUUUUUUCCUCUGAACACGAUUUCUGCAGUGCAGAAUGACUAUUUCAAGUCUUCUCCGAAACAAUGGUUAGUGUAAGCUUAGGGCAUGUUUGGUUGGGAACCGCAUUUUUGCCACAACUAAGUAUAAGCGUGUGCCACACUUGUGGCGUGACUAACCUGUGGUAGAAAUAAGGAUGUUUGGUUGGUUGCCACAUCUUAGUUGAGUUGUGGCAAAUUGAGUGAGGCACCCGUUUUAGAUGAUUGCCAUGUAUUCUGCCACAUGUGUGGCAAAAAAGUGUGGAUGGUGUUUGUUUGAUAGCCAAAGCUGAUAGAGUCACCCCCCUUGAAUGAAGUGGUGAGCUUUCCCUCUUAUGCUCAUGCAUGUCAGACAUCAUUGAUUAUUGCCAUGAAAAAAAUACCCAGGUACAAAAUAGAGCAAUCAAUCUAGCUUAUCAUAAUCCAUUAAACAUCACAUGCAAUAGUUCAUUACAGUAACCACUUGCACUGGUUCACACCAACCAGUAUAGCAACAAAAUAUCACAUGAUCGAUGCUAUUAUACAUAAGCAACUAACAGUUCUUGCACCUAGGAACUACUUGCAAAUCUACAUAGUUGGUCAUAUUAGCAGUACUACACAAGCAUCGGGUCGCUCUGCAUAGUUCAACAAUCUUCAGUAGCAACAAAAGUCAGAACAACACCCAAAAGCAUUUUCACCAAGUUCAUGCAUAACAGCCAUUAGCAGCAAAAGGAGGCCAAAUAACACCAGAAGCAUGUACUACCAGGAAUCAAUAGUAACUGCAUACGAUCUUCAUGCUUGCAAAUGAAUUGGUAUACCCAGGUCUCCAAAGUUUUGUCACUUCUGUAAGAUAGGAAACUGCGCAUACCCUCAUUGUUUGGGCCUGCAAGACAGAGAUAUUCACCAAUAAGGAUCGUAUCUUCAUUACUAAUAUUUAUCUCAUCAAUUCUUGACCGCAAUGCAGCACUGGGGUCAAUAAGUUGUGGCAAUUGGGGCGCAGGAGGAGGAUUAGCAAGAGUCUGCUGGAUUGCUUUCAUUAUGGUGGUGAUAUGUUCAAUAGCAUUGGUGAAACUACUCUUAGGCUGCUUCAUCGUCUUAGUGGGUGAUUUCACAUCUCUAGGUCGCUUCUUACCAGCCUGGUGUUUCUUAGAUGAGCCAAUUCCACCACUUGCUACCACUUUACUACUUGGAGGGGCUGGUAUUGUAUCAGAAUCAUUACCUUCAAGGUCAAUACUUUGUGGAUAAAUGAACAUGUCAUUCAGCUAUUCCGAGUCAGAGUCAGAUGGUCCGCUUCCAUCAUCCAAGCCUGUUUCCGGAUCCAUGGCAAGGGAACCAUCAGCAUUCAUGCCCGAGAAAAGUUCUUGCAUCUCAUGAAAGAAUUUGAUGGGCUUAGAGAGCAAGCGCCUGGCCCUAUCCUGCAAGCACGUGCAUAAUAAAUUAGUACCACAAAAAUCUAUAGGAAUGUAUUUUUAAUUUUUUAUAUAUAAACAAAGAAUUAAUACUCACACUAAGUUGCUCCUUUCCCGACUCUGAAAUUGUUACUUUGCAUUUUAUUUUGUCAAAACCAUUGCCACUCUUAUUCAUAGCUGUCUCAACUAUCGUCCAAUUCUCUUUGUAAUGUCCGUAGUGACAAUCAUCUUGGUCAAGUGUACCCCCCCCCCCCCCCAAUAGCAAACUCUUUGUUUAAAACAUCAGCACACUUCAUAUGGUGUUGCUUCUUGAAUACGAAGCCUGCAUGCUGUUCUUUUCGGUACUCGAUGUACCAAUUCACCAUGAACUUAGUUUGUUCAUCAUCCCAGCUCAUGGUUCUCUGCCGGGAACCUUCAUCACCAUACUUUCCCUUUCCCUUUGCCAUGGCUAAUUCAAUGAGAAAAAAGAAUGAUUUCUUAGGAAGUGAUGGGAUGUGCUAUAUUAAUCCACACGAUAACAAGCAGAACUAACACAGAAAUUAGCAGAAUUUAAAUAAUAAUAAUGAGCUUAUAUAGGUCACACAAGUAGAAAUGAGUGCAUGUGGGUACUGGGUAGCAACAAAAACAAUGUAAUGGAGCCACAACAGCAUAGGACAUCAAUGAGUACAGGUUACAACACAUAAUAAAGUACUACACACCAUUCUCGACGUUGUUGCCCUUGAUGUUUUGAUUGGCAUCCGGUUGACCUACUUAUCUUGCCACAUACGACGUGCUAGCUGGUCCCUUUUAAGUGCCCAGCUCCGACUCAUGCCUUAUGCCACGGUGCACUCUACUGCUCCUUGGGAGGGCUCUAUACCAAGAAUCUUCAUCAUUUCUUUUUUGAGAAUCACAGGGGGAAGGAGGGGGGGGAGCUCCCCCACCUGAAUAUAUUACUCAAAGGGCUGCCGGGGCAGCAAGUACAGAAUUACAUAGGCACGGUGCAACGUGCAGAGAGGUAGGAACGCCACGAGAAGACGUCCUCCUUGUCUCGUGUUUCCACAAGACGGUGUGACCAAAGGUCUAAGUCAAAAAUAAGGUUCCUAAGGGUUAUUACAGAACAUUGAUCAACACUCCUAAACAACAUAUCAUUACGUGCUGUCCAUAUCUUCCAUAGUAGUGCCAUGAGGACCAAGGACCAUGCUUUUUUGGGGAGGUGAUGAGGCAGAGAGGCGUCCCAAAGCUCAUUGAUGUCGUCGGUUUGUGGCAGUAUCCCGAUUCGUUGCCAUAUCCUGUUGGCAAGUGGGCAUGUGAUGAAGAGGUGCAUGGAGUCUUCGGGUAACCUAGCACAUCGGGGGCAUAAAUCAGAGGAGAUUAUAUGCUUAUGGGCAAGGUUGACCCUGGUAUUGAGGCGGUCCUUGAAGAGUAGCCAGGCGAAGAUUUUUAGCUUGCGAGGAGCCUUGGUGCCCCAGAUGAGAGGGGCAAUGAGAUCGUUGUCUGGCCGGGCCAUGAGGGCGCCGUACGCGUGCUUGGUGGAGAAGCCAUGGCCUCGGUUUAGGAACCUUUGAUCUUCCUCCGCCGAGGGCAUGAAGUCCUGCAAAAUAGCCAAAAGCGAAACAAGCUCUUGUUCUGCCGUAAGAGAGAGACGAUUAUUGAGGUUAGCUUCGGGACCGAAACGCAAAAUAUUAGCCACUUUAACCAGCUCUAAGUUGGAGUGUGAGAAGAGGUGGGGAAAGGUGGUAGCUAGGGGUUUUGGGGUCAACCAGGUGUCAAGCCAGAAAUAUGUAUGUGAGCCGUUUUUUGGUAGCACAAAUGAGAUAGUCUGUAGGGUGGGGAUUUGCUGUGCAAUUGUGCGGCAAAGAAAGGAGGUUUGAGGAGACGAGGAGACUAGAGCGUUGGGGUGUUGAAGGUCUAGCCAUUCUAGCCAAGGUGUCUGUGCAGAGGAGAGAGCUUUGGCUGCAAAUUUCAUGAGUAGACAAUUAUUUUGGACAUGCAGGUUUUUAAGCCCUAAACCACCGAUUUUUUUUUGGUAAGCAAACAUUUUUCCAUGCAAUAAGGCAUUGAGCUCCUGAAUAAGCAUCGUCCCCUGCCAAAAAAAAGCCCUUCUUAGAGAGUCAAUGACUUUGAGGGUUUUCUUGGGAAUGCGGAACACCGACAUGAAGUAGGUAAGGAGGGAGUUCAGAACCGCGGAGAUGAGAAUGAGACGGUCGCCCUUGUCAAAUAGUUUACCACGCCAGCCCGUCAGUAGGUUGCGAGAUCGUUCUAUCAACGGAGCGAAGGCAUUGGUAGGAGGCAUUGGUAGGAGGUUUAGUUGGGGCAAGGGGUAGGCCGAGAUAAGUUUGAGGGAAGGGUGCGCGAGAGCAACCCAUGGCAAGGGCAGUGGCAGUGGCCAUGGUAUCAUCUAUGUGGAGGGUGGCUAGAGUGGUUUUGGAGAAGUUGAUGGUGAGGCCCGUAGCUUGCGCGAAAUUGUUUAGGGUUACUUUGAGGGCUGCGGCGGCGACAGGGGAGGCGGCUGCAAUGAUGAGCGUAUCAUCGGCGUAUUGGAGAACGGUGGGAGGCAAGUGGGAGAAGAUGGGGUGGUGGGGAGCAGACUUAGAGCUCUGGAAGAUGAGCUGUUGAAGCAGGUCGGCGACGAUGAGGAAAAGGUAGGGGGAGGCCGGGUCGCCUUGCCGCAAGCCAUUCUUGCAUUGUAUCCAGUUGCCUGGGACCCCAUUCAGGAGAAUGGCAGCUUUGCCCGUGUGAAGAAUGUUUUGCAUCCAGGUACGAAAGGUUUGAGAGAAGCCACGAACGGCCAGGAUCCUGUCAAGGGCGGGCCAAGCCACGGAGUCGAAAGCUUUUCAGAAGUCGAGCUUAAAAACCAUGGUUGGUCUUUUGCGAGAGUGGCAAGAGCUAAUGAGGUCGGCUGCAAAAACGUAGUUCUCGCCGAUAUUCCUGCCGGAGAUGAACCCAGUCUAAUUGCCAUGGACUAACAUAGGAAUGAGCGGUUUGAGACGAGAAGUGAGGACUUUAGCAACAGCUUUGAUUGGGCAGUUCUGCAGAAAGAUAGGCCUGAAAGCGUCGGGUGAGGUUGGCGUGUCCUUCUUUGGAAGGAGGACGAUGUGAACACGGUUUAUGCGUUCUGUAUCUGACCCACCUUGGUGAAAUUGGGAGAAGAAAGGUAGAACUACGUGUUUGACUAAGGGCCAGUAAGUUCUAUAAAAGGACAGGUUGUGGAUAUAUAGCGUUCAGAUCAAAAGCCCAUGUCGUAGUGGCUGUACCAAUGAGGGAGACGAAGAAAUCCCUAAGAAUCUCCGCUUUGUGGUGGUGAGAGGUGAAAUCAUUACCAUCGCGUGAGGGUAAAUAUUUUGUUUUUUCUAAGCCAGUGGGAGGCAGACAUGUGGAAGAAUUUUGUGUUAUCCCUGCCGUGGAUGGCUCGUGACACUUUAGCACGCCAUCUCCAAUAGGUCAUUUUCUCUUGGAUUGUGCAUUUGAGGAGAAACAAUAAUUUUGCGAGUGAGAAGUUCUGGAUGGGACAGAGCUCUAGAUUCUUCAGCGUGAUCUAACGCAGCGAUUGUAGAUUUGCAACUAGACUCGCGAAGGGGAGCAGGGAUACGUGAUCAUGCCCAUUUUUUUAGCCCGGCCUGAGAUUUUUUGAGCAUGGAGGCAAGAGCAGCGGCAGAGUUGACUGACGAUGUGGGCUGAGAUGGAGCCCAGAUUCUCCUGAUAAUGUCUCCACAUGGCUGGAAGUUGGCCCAGCCAGGCUUGAAUUUAAAGAAAUUGGACCGAGGAAUCGUUGUGGUGACGUGGACGAGGAGGGGGACGUGAUCGGACGUAAAACGCGUGAGUGAAGAUAAUGAUGUGUUAGGGAAGGCGUCAGCCCAGCCUAAGUUAAAGGAAGCUCGAUCGAUCCGUUCUAAGGUGGGCGUAUCUCUAUUGUUCGACCAGGUGAACUGGCGAUCAAGUAGCGGCAACUCUAUGAGGGCUAGGUCGUCUAAGGUUUGGUUGAAAGCGUUGGCCUCAGAUUGUCGGAAGGCAUGAUUGUUUUUGUCAGAGGGGAAGCGAAGGAGGUUGAAGUCUCCAGCAAUAAGCCAUGGGGAAUCAUCUGGUUGUGCGAUAGUUAGGAGCUCGUUUAAGAAAGAUUGUUUGAGUGCACGUGAAGAGGGGGCGUAGAUAUUAGUGAUGGCAAUGUUGCGGGCGCAUGCCGUUGAUUGCAAAAUCAGGGUGGAGGAGAAGGUGAGGUGUGUGAAAGAGACAACUUGAAAAUAAGUUGUGUUGACUGUAGAAAUAGUGCCACCCUCCGUGCCCAUGGUGGGUAACGAGAAAACUUGAUCGAGUUGUCGUGGCAAGAAGGAUCUUAGUUUGGGGUCGGAGUAAGUAUCUAGUUUUGACUCAAGAGGGUAAUGUGAGGUUUGAUCGCAAUCAAUUCAGAGAGGACGUCAGAGCACUUGGCAUCAUCGCCUAAACCACGUACAUUCCAGGAGCAAAUGGAGAAUGCGACAUUACUCAUUAAAAAGGUUCAAACACCGGUAGGCAGAGCAGAGGUACAACGGGUCUACAGGCGCAAAAGUUACAGAGAGGUACGACAACAGUACUAAAACUAACGACAGCGGGUACAACGACCAAAAGUAUAACGACACACUUAGAACAUGCGGUGUAACAGAAACGGGCGGGAGCGGCCAGUUGCGCCCUGACGGGCUGUGAAUGCGUGGAGUGCUGAUCAUGGAGCAUCGUGCUCACCGGAGGCAGAAGCCUCAGAUCCAAGGAUGGCGUCAAGAUGGCCGUCGUCGGCACCACAGAGCAGCGCAAUGGCAGCCAGGUCUUCAGCAGAGGCAGGAGGGGCAUCAGCGACGUCAAGGCGGGCAUCUUGGAUGGCAUGAUCAAUGGCAGUGCCCACGCCCGCGGCAGAGAGGCGAGAGGCGAGCGGCCUUGGCCUUGACGGCCUUGGCGAGCAUAGGCAAGUACUUGGCCUCCUUGCCAGCAAGCCGCGCGCUACGGCGCAGCUUGUCCUUGGAGUAGGAGUGGUCACGAGCUGUCUUGCGGCGCUCCUUGCGGAUGGUGCACUCAUGAGUGUCCAGGUCCUCGAGAGGAAGAGCUGCGUCCAUGUUGGCAGUGGUCAGCGCAUUGGUAGCAGAGGAUACAAGGUUUGAUGGAUUGAGCAUAGGAGAGGUUGGGGGGUUACCAUUUGCACAUGACGAUUCACCGGCAGAGAAAGUGAAGGUAGGGAGGGCGGCAGAGCCAUCUGCGAACGGCACGAACAUAGUGAAAGCGGACGCGUCGGACGGCAUCAGCGGGCCAUCAGGCAGAGCAGCAGCCGACAGGCGGGCGGGCGGAUCUGGAGGCACAACAGAUCCCACCCGGGGAGCCGGGCAGAUGACAAGUGGGGACCGCACAGGCAGGGGGUGCAUGCACCGUGUCCACGCCAUGCAGGAGCAGGGCGUGCAUGUCCUCAGAGCCAGGUGAGUCGUCGUCAGAGAUGAUGAGGGGUUGGCGCACAGUGCCAGGUGGUGGGAAAGGUGAGGACAGAGCAGAUUCGCCCGUACCGUCGCCAGGAGAGGCAACAGGCACACGUGAACCGCCGCUGGCAUGGCGGGCAACCUGUCUGGUGCCGCCGUAGGUGGGGUCCGCGCGCCAACCAGCUCUGACAGCAGAGAUGACUGGAGCGAGGUGGUCUGGGGAGAGAGGACAUGGGGAGCAACGUUGGGAGAGCGGGGCAGAGUCCCCAUCGGAGGAAUCGCCACCGAAGGGGUUGGCGCCUUCGCCAUGAUGCCAGUGGGAAACCUCUACAACUUUUGCUAUUUUGAUCUCAUUGAUGGGAGGGAGUUGGAUGACAAUGCCAGGAGGAGCUGGUUUGCCGGACUGGAGCAGCACAAGGGCGCGGACUGAGGUGUAAUCUAUGCCAUGGAGGCAGAAAUCAUCGACGACACAGACAUCGCCAAGGAAGGCCAGGGCGAAGCGGAUGCCAUCGCUCUGCCAGAGCUCGUGCGGAAACUCGGAGACCUCGAUUUCCGCGAGGUCGGUGAAAACGGCAAUGGCACGGUCAACAUGCUCUACCGGCUCUAUGGUGAUCACAUUGCCUUCAAAGUCUAUGGGGCUACGGCGGACGACAUCGUUGCGGGCAGCAGGAGUAUGGAAGGUGAGGCAGGCCACCCCACGCCAGGACCUGCCCAUAAUGAAGGCAGGGUUGCCGCUAGUGUGCUGAAUGGCGCGGCGGAUGAGGGGGUGGGAUUGGGGUUGGGGUUCUGUAGGUGCGCGAAAGUGAAGCGGCGCGGGUAGUGGACUAGGCAGGGUGGAGCGGCGACGAGCGGCAUGUCUCCAUAGGGAGGCAGUGGCCCAGCCUCAUGGACUGGACGAGGCAGCUCGUCAUCAGAGUCUGUUUCAGAUACGUGCGAGGUGGCCCUCGUGUGUUGUGAGGCGAUGAAAACGUCGGAGAGAUGAUCCACAGUUCUUGGGUGUCGAACGGGGAUGUGGGCGUGUGAUUGGUAUCGUGGAGAGGAGUGGUGGGGGUGGGUGGAGGGGCUGAGGUGCGCGGUGGUGAGGGAGGGGGAAGGAGGGCUCCGUUUGCGCGACGGGAACGCCAUGGAGGAUGAAGGGAGAUGGGACGCAGACGGCUGGGAAAGGCUCGGAGAGGAUGAUACGGACAUCCGAUCAUGAGAGUGCGCGGGCCGCGUGCCGCCGCCGACGAGGAGCUACCAGAGUCCAUGCUGCGAGGGCAGAAAGUUGGAUCAGGGCUAGGAGGGAAAGAAAGGCCAGAUCCGUUUGUACCUGCAGUCGCGGAUGCGGUGGCCGUUCCGCCAACAGCGAGCGCAGCGGAUGGGGUCGCGGCAGGCUUCGACACAGUGGUCUAAGGCGAGGCACUGGAAGCAGCGUCGCCUCCUUUUGGUGGAUGGUGGUGGGUGAGAGUGAAGAUGAAAGGGAAGGAGAUGCCGAUGUGGUAGGGGGGCGGGGCUGCGGGUGGCUGCGGCCGUGGGGGGAGGAGAGGAGAACAUCUCUGUAUGACCUUGUCGUGGCGCUGUUGGACCGCAUGGGCAGCAUAUCUGCCGUCAGAGCGGCGUGAUCUGUUGCGUGUGCCAGUGCGCGAGGCGACUGGGGCUUAUGGCGUGGUGAUCGAGCGGACGGAUUAGGCUGCAGGGAGGUUUUAGGCGCGAUGAUGAUGGCUAGAUACCGUUUAGAGGUAGCUUGGGUGAGCUGCAAGGGCGGGUAUACGCGUGACGGCUCGGCUUCGUCAGUUCCCGAUACAAGAUUCUCGCACGGUGAGGUCGCAGGGGCCGCGUGUGGGGGGGCAGGGGGCGGCGCGGCGGAGCCCGGAUUAGACGCGGGGGGGGGGGGGGGGGGCGUCCAUAUUUGGCACAGACAGAGAGACAAGAGGGGAUACCUGGGUUCGCGCGCCGUCCUUGCGCACAUGCGCAGCAGCAGUCACCGCGUACGGAUCUUUUGCAAGAUUUGGUUUGUCUAGGGCCGCCGCACAGCCAUCAUUAUGCAUGGGGUGGGCCAGGGGUUCAUGCAGGGCUGACCGGUCGUGCUCGCAGCACGUGACCGUGGGGGAUGGCUGGUGCGGUGCAUGGACAGGCAGGUGCUGCUGAUCAAAAGGGCCAAGGAUGGAUGCAAAUCGAGGGGGCUGGGGAGAGUAAGAAAAAUUGUUAUAUAGAUGGAGGAAUGACUGCAGUGAGCAACGGCCGGUUCUAGUUGGUCAAAGAGGAAAAGACGAAACCCUUCAAAGUCAAGGGACCCAUGCUUGAGAAUUUGAAAUUUGAUUGAGCGGGAGAUGCCAGACUUAAAAAUAAGCUCAUGAACCUUGACCGCAAGAAAAUCUUGUUUGACCGAAAAACAGUGAUUUAGGGCUGACUCGACUAGCAUUUCAUUAGGCCUAACACUAAUUGGCAUGAAAGUGAUCCAGAAUAAAUGAGAGUGGUAAGUGUAAUGCACGUGAGGGGGGAGCUGGCUAAAACGAUUAACAUUAAGCAUGCGGUAAAAGAAGCUAAUACCAGGCCGUUGUCGUCGCACCUUAGGCAGAUCGAGAGUUGUUGAGGCUGGUGGGAAGGAUGCAGAGACGACCGCCGACGGUGAGGAUGACGUGGUGCCAUACGACGGAGGCAUGGCAUCUCCAGGAAUCGAGCCUCGGGCACCACCCAAGGGUGGUGGCCAGGGGAAACGGAUCAGCAUGCCCUUCUUGUGGAAGUCACCCAUGGAGGCGAUGAGCUUGGCGACUUCUUGCGAGGCGACGGUGAACGAGAAACAUGAGUCACCGUCGUCCGUGACGUUGAAGCUGUGGUGGAAGCCGCCGAACAGACGAGCAAGGAUGAGGGCCAUUGAGGUGGCAUUAAGGGCGAACGGGAACUGGAUGACGCGCAUACAUGCGGCAUCCGUGUGGCUGGUUGCAUGGAUCAACGGAGACUGGAGAUCGGAGUUGUGACCAUGCGACGCCUUCAAAGUGAAGACCCAGGUCAUCUGGAAUUUGAAGCAGGUGUGCAAGCGACAUGCAAGACACAGCGGCCUGGGGUGGUGGUGGAAGCGGGGGCAGGGUUCUAGUGAAGAAGAAGGCGAAGUUGUGGUGGCGGACCCUGGUUUGGGCGAGGAUGAUCUCUGCGACACGCGAUGAGGCAACAUGGAGGCGGAAAACAAGAGGAGAGCCCAUGGCCACGAAGAAUUCAGCAGCACUGCCGCCAAGAACAGCUUGAAGCAGAGCAGCGACGACAAUGGCGUCGAGGUGGCGGUUGGAGAAGUCGAAGACGAUGUAGAGGGGUGAUGCGAGGUGGAGUUCUGGGGUGGUGAUGUCAAGGCGGUGGUAGUAACUGCAGUCGUCCUCAAACUCCAGGCCCAUGGCGUUGCCGCACCCCAGGAAGCAGCGGAGAGCUACCUGGCCGGCUUUGACAUAGGGCAGGUCAAAGAAAGGCGAUGGAGGAGGCGCAACAGAGGGGAGGAGUGCGUCCAGAGGAUUGGUGGCGAGGGCGAGGUCAGGUUGAGGGCCAUCCGGGGGGUUUGUGGUGACUGGAGCGUGGCUGGAGGCCGGAGGUGGAGGUGGAGGAGGGGGAGGAGGAGGUGGGAGAGCGAGAGCGAGAGCCAUCAACACCGUGGUGGUCCUGCGAAAAACAUUUGGAGUGGAUAUCACCAUUCUCUAGGACAUACUCGUCAAUACCAUUCUCUAGGAUCCAAUUGUGAAGUGCACAACAUGCAACCACAACCUUCACUUGCGUUUUCAAAGGGAAAUAUGGCUGACUUGAAAGGAUAUUGAAACGAUUCUUCAAGGCCCCAUAUGCUCGUUCAACUGUUGUACCACAUGAGGAGUGGCGGUGAUUAAAUAAUUCCUUAUAAUCUGAUGGAUUUGUAUCCCCUCUGUAUUCUUUUAGGUGAUAACGAACACCACGGUACAGCGGUAGUAUUCCAGGUCUACUUGCAUAUCCAGCACCAGGUAAGAAGAAUUUUCCUACAAUAGAAAAUGCCUCCUAAAGUUAGAUAUGAACUAAUUUGAUGUUUGAUAACUUCACAAUAGCUGCUAGGUGAAAUCCUACCUUCUGGUAUUUUUAAUCUAGUGGGACGACUUAAAGCAUCUUGAAGCACUAGAGAGUCAUGGGCAGAUCCCUCCCACCCAGCAAGCACAUAGAUGAAUCGCAAGUCAAAAUCAACAGCUGCUAGGACAUUUUGAGGUGGGAUGGACUUAAAGCCCCUAAAUCUGUCUUGCAUAUGUAAAGGCACAAAUGCCGGCAUAUGUGUACCAUCCAAGGCCCCUACGCAUCCCUAGGAAAAGGCAUGAUGUUCAACUAGUUGAGUAUGUAGCUCACGUGUGCUUUAAAAAAUUAGUGCAGUGAUAUAUUUUAUUUUUACCUUGAAGCAAGGAUGAAACCUGCCUGGGUUACUUGUGAUCUUUUCAUGCAUUUCAGUGCUUCUCAUGUAUAUCGAUUCUUUGGAAAGCUUGACGAGUGCAUCUAAAACAGCAUGGAAAUACCUACUAACCGUCUCAUUAGAUCAGAAAACCCUGAAACCUAUAGACCUGUUUGCCCACUCUUGUCCCACUGUAGGCAUAAACAUUGCAACUUGUUCUUCCACUGUGACAACAACUACAAAUGGCUACUGCUCUAAUAAAUCCAGAUCAAAUGAGCAACUAAUCAUGAAGUAAGAUAGAGAAAUCAAAUAGAUAAAAAGGUGAAAGACCAGUGGCAUGAGUGGCCAUGAGUAUUACAAGGAUUACAUGGAGAAGUGUCAUAGAUAAAGGAAGAUUGAUGGAAACACAAUACCUUGAAGAGAGAGGUGGAGUAGAAGCUGCAAUACGUGGGGUUGAUUCCAGGCCAGAGCCCACACAGCGUGCACCUCCGCAACUAUCACAAACCAGUGAUGGUGCUCAAGAACUUGGAUCUGGAAGGGGAUUUCGAGUGGAAUGAGUAGGGGCUUGGCAAAUAAAUAGAGGGGAAUCUGGAGAGGUUUAGUAGGUAAAAAUAUUUUUCAAGGAGAGGGGAUUUCAGAUUUGGAGAAGAGAGCGAUCUGGGGAGAGGAGGAUCUGUGAGGAGAGAUGCGUGAGAAGAGGAAAGUGCCAUGGGAGAACGGGAGGAGGGGAAAAGACAACAGUUCGCGCGUUUUUUAGUCGAGAGCGGUGAGAUGCUCCUGUUCGCACCCAAAAAAAUCGUACGGGUGGCAGAGGAAACCCAACUUUUCCCUCCACCUGCAGCGUGCCGAAGAUUUGGCGGACGAAUCCGGCGCCACAAGUCGGGCGAAGAAAAGUGCAGCGAGAUUCUGUGGCAACCCAACCUAAGGCAGAGAAACAAACGCUAGCCUAAGUGAGCACCUACCGUGAGGCAUGGCUCCCAACCAAACAUGCCCUUUGUUUGAGCUAUACCUGAUACUGUAUCUGAGCAUAUAAUCUCAUGCGUUGAUGUGGUUAAUGCACCCCUUAUUGUCUGGUAGGUACUGCCUAGAACAUCUUAUUUUGAAUAUCGUAUUUUGUGGUAUAUAAUAUGAUAGAGCGUUAGUUGGGCUUUUGUGGUACUCACUGAUAGGCUUUCAGUUUAGGAGUUAUUGUGGCAUCUUGAUCCGUGAGAGUAUGUUCAUGUUGAAGAAACUAUAAGAAUAAAUAAGGAGGGAAGAGAAAAAUAUUUGUUAUCUGGCUUGCUUGCCUAAUGAAGCUCAUGUGGACCAUUUAUAGUUUGUAUUAUUAGAGUUUGGUUGUAGUAUUCAUACAAAGAAGUAUGAGCGCCACGUUGAAAUAUGGUUCUCGCGGUAAAAAGUGAUCCUUGAAAUUGCAAGUAUCAUGAUAAUGGUGUAAUGUCUGCAAAUCAGAUUCUGUAGCCAGAAUAAUAUAUGUGCUACCUUCAGCUAUAUAUGUACAUCAAUUGUUUAACUAUUGUUCUUUGGAUUGUUUCAGUGAACUGCUAAACAGUGGAUGUAACUAGGUUGACAUUGAUUAAGAAGUGCUAAACAGUGGACGAAGCUAGGUUGACAUUGAUUAAGAAGUACUCACCCCGUAAAGAAAUAUAAGAGCGUUUAGAUCACUACUUUAGUUUCUUAGUGAUCUAAACGUUCUUAUAUUUUUUUACAGAGGGAGUACAUAGUUUGUAGGUUGUUUGAUCUACUAUAUCAGGCGGCACCUGGAUUCUCAUGGCUCUCCCGACAAUGGUCAGUGUACAUUUUACCUAGAGCUAUGGUGAUCAAUACUGAAAAGCUUUCCUGCAGAUUAUUAACUGCUAUAAAUCAUGCACAGUCCUCCCUAAAAGGAAAAUCAGACACAAAAUUGUAUUUACUUCUCCAAGCAUAUAUUUUACUGGAGCACAUCUUUGUAAGACCAAUAUACCAUAUUAUUUUAUUGUUAUUCACUUGUUCAUUUUCACAUUUGAGAUGUAAACAUUGAUACCACAUCAUGCAUGCUUCAGGCAAUUAUUUCUUUUCUUGCAUUCUUCUGUGGAAAUAACUAAAUCCAUAUAGGUUGAACUGUUACUUUCUACUCCCUCCGUCCCAUAAUGUAAGACGUUUUUUAACACUAGUGUAGUGUCAAAAAACGUCUUACAUUAUGGGACGGAGGGAGUAAUUCGCAAACCAGUAUGGUAGCAAUCAUAUGGGUUAAUAUUGCUAGACUAAUUGUUUAGCUAGGUAUUUAUUUACUUUGUUCGAUUCCUGCCUUUUAUCAUUACCACUUCAUAUUUUAUUGGUGAAAUAGCAUAAAAGAGGAUGGUAUGUUUUUGUUUUUCCCAUUGUCAUCACAAAAGGAGCAUAUGAAUAGCAAUAUAUUUCGUUCAAGAAACUUUUUCAGCUUUAAGAGAUAAGCACUAUCAUUUUAAAUUCGGGCAUGUUACUUACGUGAUUGUUGAGUUACUUACUGUAGUUGAUAGUAUAGAUGUACUUUCUGAUGAGACGGUUGGUAAAAUAGUAGUAGUAAAUAAUAUAGAUUCAGCUGUAUUUACUUUGCCCUGCUCUCCCUGAAGUUAUUAAGUGAUUCAUCUGUUCUUUGCUUCACAUGUUAUACCACUGUCCUCGAUGGAGGCAAUUGGGAUCUAGCAAAUUUGAAUUUCCAUCUUACAUUCAGAGACAUCUCAAUUGCUUCAGUAUGCCAUUCUCUUCUCCUCUUUGACGAUACACAGAACAAACUUUCUUUAACGUUUACUGCAGCAUUUGGAAGUAUUUUGCGCAUCACGGUGUGUUGGAGAGAGUGAGGCCACUUCAUAAAAUGACCAGUUGCAGUGCCUUCAAACUUACCUAAUUCCUGGCAGAAAUCAAAACCAAAAGGCAGCAAUCAGGUACAUCAAACAGAGAAAUAGUGAGACCGCGCGGCGGCAUGGCUCAAUGAUGCAUGGAUGCGUCGAGCUUCUGGCCGAUCACGCAAUGAAGAUUCAUCUUCAUUGCAAGAAACUAUAAACAGUUUGUUGGAAGAAAAUAGAAGCACAACAUUUUUCAGACCUUUUUAGUGGGUAGUACCACCAUAAGUUAGUAUCAUGUGCGUAUAUGAUACGUAUUAAUGCAUGAUGUAGUCUUUACAGGAUUAUAGCGCAUAAUAUCAUAGAUUGAUAUAUUAUAUGGUCUCCCUUACAAUUUUAGAUGAUUCAUUUGAGUACCUCAUUUAUAUGAUACAAUAUCAUUGCUUUGAUACCGGUGUCAUCUUUGUUUUUACUAUUCCCUCCGUCCCAUAAUAUAAGAGCUAUGAUACUAGUUUGGGUCUAGUGUGACCGCAAGCCUACGGGUCACUCAUGGCAUGUUCCCGUGGAUUGGUGGUGUCCCGUUUGUGUCCCACCUGGUAUCGGACCCACAUGCUAGUUGCUUGGGGUUGGCUCCGUCUCGCGUGUAACUCGACGGCAAGAUUCCGCGUUACGCUAUUAUGGCCAUGCUACCACAGUUGUCGGCGUACGUAAACAGUCACGGAGAUGAGGGCCCGCCGGUACGCCGUGUCCACAUGUCAGUGUUACUUAUUUCGCUAGGUGAGGUGACACGGAGACGCGCACCGCGCCGUGCUCACCUUUGCUUGUCGGAAUUGUUGACCUUUAGCGGGCCCGGACGCGCAAAGCUACAAUACAAAUUCGUUCGGAUCCUAUUACGGUGGCUCGAGAUCUGCAAGACGCAAACCGUACGCGUAUUUUAUAGCUGGAAAGAAAUAAAUCCUCCACCGCUCAACGAGGCUCUCCCCUCCCUCUCGUUGCCCCUCGACUCAUCCUCUCAUCGUGAUCUCGUUCCCGUUCCCGUUCCCGGCGAAGAGAGAAAGGCAUGGCGAAGAAGCCAUCAGGAGAUGCUCGUCGGGCGCUGCACCGGCCGUUUGUGCGCAUCGCACGGCCGGUCAACCACGUCGUCGUAGAUCGCGCGGUCUACCCGGCCAGGGGCGGCUGCUGAUGGGGCGGAUCCGCGGCCAGGCUCGACGGGGAGCACAGCACGGGCACGAUGCAAGGAAUGGCUUCAAACAAACACAAGGGGCAAUAAAGAAAGGGCUACGGCCAGGGGUUCUGAUGCUGAUCUGUAUGGAGGGGUGAACGCACUUGCUGGAGACGAUUUGGAGAGCCAGUUUUACUCAAAGGAGACGAUUUGGAGAGCCAGUGUGAAGAAGGGUCCGAACAAGCUUCGCCCACACAAAGAUGCCAUGGCCAGGGCUGAUGUCAUUAAGAGUGGAAGCUAUGGUGGCAUGACAAUUGUCCACCCAUCACCAGCUGUCACUAAAGAUGUAGCACAGAAGUAGAUCAGGAAGACCUCGGGGCCACUAUGCACAAUAUUUUUAUCAGGUGUUGUUUCCAAUGACAUCUGAAGUUAUUUGCUCCGGGGUUUCAUCAUCACGCCUGUUUGCACAGUUACCUAGUACCCCAGUUUUUGCACUAAAUGUAUGGUCUUCUGUGACCUGACUAUCUGAAAGUGAAGUUUUUGUAAUAGAACUAUAAUGAUUCGUACGUAUGGUCAUCUAUGACCUGACUAUUGCUAUAUAUGUGCUAUGUAUGACUACUGCUGAAAGUAAUAAUGUCUUUUACCA